GAAAGAGUGGCUGAAGUUUAGGCGGUAGAUUGUAAAUCUACAUAUGAAGGUUAGUCCUUCUUUUUUCA
RNAcentral lists this transfer RNA (68 nucleotides) under Alpheus japonicus. RNAcentral describes it as "tRNA-Tyr". It matches the Rfam family "tRNA". From Rfam's summary of the family: Transfer RNA (tRNA) molecules are approximately 80 nucleotides in length. RNAcentral also lists the same sequence under 1 other name. Lineage: Eukaryota; Metazoa; Arthropoda; Malacostraca; Decapoda; Alpheidae. The record is from RNAcentral.